Molecule: long non-coding RNA, 223 nt
Organism: Pistacia vera
Lineage: Eukaryota; Viridiplantae; Streptophyta; Magnoliopsida; Sapindales; Anacardiaceae
Exons: 3
Source: RefSeq, a predicted model, not a curated record
CGUACCUUGAAGAACAUGUGUUUGCAUUUUGGCUAACGACAGCUGGGAUAAUUGUUGGUGCUGUUGUGGCAUUUUUUCUUAUGUAUUCGUAUCUUAGGACUAGGAAGAUACUGUAAAUAAGGAGAUCAUUCAAGCUGAGGUGAUACCAAUGGUGAAGAACUCUUUGAUUGGAUUACACUUACUGAGGUCCAUAAAAUGUUGUUGUCGAGUAAAUUACUAAAUU